RNAcentral lists this long non-coding RNA (648 nucleotides) under Struthio camelus australis. Its description in RNAcentral is "lncRNA (ENSSCUG00000001682.1)". Lineage: Eukaryota; Metazoa; Chordata; Aves; Struthioniformes; Struthionidae. The record is from RNAcentral.
ACUGAUGAUGAAGAUUACAUGUAUGCACCACCUACUGAGAAUGCUUGACAUUUAGUCAACUUUUGUAUUGUGGGUUUUUUUUCUUUUGGGUACAGGCUGUUUCCAGAUCUCCUGGGGCCAACUGUCAUUAGCUACCCUGGUAUAAAAGAGCCUGACACAUAAUUUUCUUGCUUUAAUCACAAAAGAAGCUACGUGAGCAGUUUACGGGUGAAAGAGUAGCACACCAAAUCUUUUGACAGAAAUUUGGAUGAUACAAGGGAGUGACAGCAGACGUGACAGAAUGAAAGCUAGAACUUUCGUGGUUUGUGCCUGUGCAAUCUUCAUGGUUUUUCUUGUAGUUGAAACCUGGUGUGCUCCAAAGAGUAAAGCUGCAGUGAGAAACUGGGGCCCACAAUCGAUGCUGUACCUCAAAGGACGCUAUGGCAGAAGAUAUGCCUCUGACAAUGAAGAACAACAGUAUUACAAGCUUAAUCUGGACCACUUCAGCUAUUUGAGUUCAACACCAAUGAAAUUUCUGAACAUCAGAAGAAGAUUCACAGCCCCAAACAUGGCUAUUAAAUACCUGGAAUAAAACAAAGCUUUCCUUUACUUGCUGCAAACACCUCCUCAUGCUGAAAAACAAUAAAUUAAAAAAAAUUAAAAAUAACA